AUAUCUCUCUGUACGGGAAGGAUGAGAAGCUUCGACUAAGGUUCGAUUCGAGCGUCAGCGAGAAAGCGUUGCCGCAGGCAAC
This 82-nucleotide small RNA is filed under the name Salmonella enterica. RNAcentral describes it as "partial RtT sRNA". It matches the Rfam family "RtT RNA", at positions 1 to 80 of the family's 130-position model. From Rfam's summary of the family: This family represents a bacterial cis-regulatory element known as RtT RNA. The exact function of RtT is unknown although it is thought that it may be involved in changing the cellular response in relation to amino acid starvation. Lineage: Bacteria; Pseudomonadati; Pseudomonadota; Gammaproteobacteria; Enterobacterales; Enterobacteriaceae. RNAcentral also lists the same sequence under 1 other name. The record is from RNAcentral.